CUGUUCUGGCUUCUCUUCAAUGAAUGAUUCUUUCGCCGUUUACUAAAAAAAUCCGUGGAGAGAAGCAGUUCCAGGAGUCUUGAACAUUGAACUGUUAAAAACAAAACCCUUUAACGU
Molecule: small nuclear RNA, 117 nt
Gene: U5
Rfam family: U5 spliceosomal RNA
About the family: U5 RNA is a component of both types of known spliceosome. The precise function of this molecule is unknown, though it is known that the 5' loop is required for splice site selection and p220 binding, and that both the 3' stem-loop and the Sm site are important for Sm protein binding and cap methylation.
Source: Ensembl